AGCUUUGCGCAGUGGCAGUAUCGUAGCCAAUGAGGUUUAUCCAAGGCGCGAUUAUUGCUAAUUGAAAGUUUCCUUAUAUAAACAUCUUCAUGAAAAUUUGAGAAAUCCUAUGAAU
This 115-nucleotide small nuclear RNA is filed under the name Saimiri boliviensis boliviensis (Bolivian squirrel monkey). Its description in RNAcentral is "U4 spliceosomal RNA (ENSSBOG00000015730.1)". It matches the Rfam family "U4 spliceosomal RNA". Rfam says of the family: U4 small nuclear RNA (U4 snRNA) is a component of the major U2-dependent spliceosome. The structure of U4 snRNA from yeast and human has been reported. The record is from RNAcentral. Lineage: Eukaryota; Metazoa; Chordata; Mammalia; Primates; Cebidae.